AGGACGAACGCUAGCGGCGUGUUUGAAACAUGCAAGUCGAACGGGAAGAGCAAUCUUUUAGUGGCGAACGGGUGCGUAACACGUAAAGAACCUAUCCAACAGUGGGGGAUAGCCUCUGGAAACGGGGGGUAAUACCGCAUACGGUAUAGAGCAGGCAUCUGCUUUAUAGGAAAGGGAUACGAAAGUAUUUCACUGAUGGAGGGCUUUGCGGCCUAUCAGGUAGUUGGUGGGGUAACGGCCUACCAAGCCAAAGACGGGUAGCUGGUCUGAGAGGACGAUCAGCCACACUGGGACUGAGAUACGGCCCAGACUCCUACGGGGGGCAGCAGUUUAGAAUAUUGUGCAAUGGGCGAAAGCCUGACACAGCGACGCCGCGUGGGUGAUGAAGGCCUUAGGGUCGUAAAGCCCUGUUGGUAGGGAAGAGCAAGGACGGUACCUACCGAGGAAGCCCCGGCUAACUACGUGCCAGCAGCCGC
RNAcentral lists this ribosomal RNA (476 nucleotides) under uncultured bacterium. Its description in RNAcentral is "SSU rRNA". It matches the Rfam family "Bacterial small subunit ribosomal RNA", at positions 26 to 518 of the family's 1533-position model. The record is from RNAcentral.